Long non-coding RNA from Hibiscus syriacus, 229 nucleotides. RefSeq lists it as uncharacterized. Lineage: Eukaryota; Viridiplantae; Streptophyta; Magnoliopsida; Malvales; Malvaceae. The record is from RefSeq and is a predicted model, not a curated record. The transcript has 3 exons.
UCCAUCCCAACCUUCUCUUCCACCAACAGCAAACCAGACUAUCCAGUGUGAUGUUGUUUGGUGUGGUGAUGGGGAAUGUGUGAGUAAUGGAAGUGGACAUAUCUGCCAGUGCCACCAAGGCUCUGAGAAUUUGUUUAAUUCCUCUGGCCUUGCUUGUUUUAAACCAUGCUACCUCGGAGCUGACUGUCAGGGUUUGAAUUUGUCGGCAAAUCCACCGCAACAGCCACCC